Molecule: ribosomal RNA, 341 nt
Filed under: uncultured bacterium
Lineage: Bacteria
Description: bacterial SSU rRNA
Rfam family: Bacterial small subunit ribosomal RNA
Source: RNAcentral
AACGAACGCUGGCGGCAGGCCUAACACAUGCAAGUCGAACGCCCCGCAAGGGGAGUGGCAGACGGGUGAGUAACGCGUGGGAACGUACCCUUCGGUUCGGAAUAACCCGGGGAAACUCGGGCUAAUACCGGAUACGUCCGCAAGGAGAAAGAUUUAUCGCCGAAGGAUCGGCCCGCGUCGGAUUAGCUAGUUGGUGGGGUAAUGGCCCACCAAGGCGACGAUCCGUAGCUGGUCUGAGAGGAUGAUCAGCCACACUGGGACUGAGACACGGCCCAGACUCCUACGGGAGGCAGCAGUGGGGAAUAUUGGACAAUGGGCGAAAGCCUGAUCCAGCCAUGCCG